Cercocebus atys (sooty mangabey) is the source of this 813-nucleotide long non-coding RNA. RefSeq lists it as uncharacterized. The record is from RefSeq and is a predicted model, not a curated record. Lineage: Eukaryota; Metazoa; Chordata; Mammalia; Primates; Cercopithecidae. The transcript has 3 exons.
AGGAGCACGGGGGCCAGGCAUCAGAGCAGGUGGGGCCUGUGAGCCUCCCUCCAAUCCCUCCUCCUCCCACAGGCCAAGACCAGAAGGACGCCCAGAACUACACAGCAAGCAAGGGCUAGAGACGAACAACCCACGUGCUGUCCCCACAGACACGGUGAGAAAACUGAUGCUUGGAGAUGUGAUCACUGCCCAGGGUCACAGAAUGACAACAUGCAUGCAUAUGGAACUUGCUGCAUGCCAGCACCAUGCACUGCUAGGCGAUGGUGAUAAUAAGGAGAAGACUCUGUCCCUGCCUUCCAGUUGUGUAGAGGAAGAUAUCCCCCUACACGAUGGGUGAGACAUAGCAGAAGUGAGUAGGGGAUGAGGUGGGGGCUUAGAGGAGGGCAUGGCCAGCCUGUCUGGGAGGGAGCUGCAUGUGUGCGUCUGAGAUAGGGACAGGCAUGCAUCUUGCAGGAUGAGUAUCGAGCAGAGUCACAGAGACAGAAAACUCCUGGAGGUUUCAGGAAUCAUCUAAUCCACUGUGGCUCACAAGUUCUUGCCUCUUGGCUUUGCCUGCAGCAUAUCUCCUGGAGGUGUGCUAGGGCAAAACUCAUCCCAAACCACCAUCUCUAUCCUCCCCAAUACACCCUGGCCCUCCCUGCCUACCCUUGAGCAUGGUGCAUGUGUGCAUGGGUGCAUGCCUGCAUAUAUAGCUAUCUCCCACGUAUUUCCCAAAGCCCCACAUAAUGCUUCAGUUUGCUAAGGAAAAAAUGUUAAUUAUUGCAAAUGUGUUUAAAACUGUAAAAGUACAUUAAAUAAACUCUGUAAAGCGUG